UACGUAGGAUGCGAGCGUUAUCCGGAUUUAUCGGGUUUAAAGGGUGCGCAGGCGGCACGGCAAGCCGGCGGUCAAAUCGCGGGGCUCAACCCCGCCCAGCCGUCGGAACUGCCGGGCUAGAGUGGGCGAGAAGUGCGCGGAAUGCGUGGUGUAGCGGUGAAAUGCAUAGAUAUCACGCAGAACUCCGAUUGCGAAGGCAGCGCACCGGCGCCCUACUGACGCUCAGGCACGAAAGCGUGGGUAUCGAACAGG
This 252-nucleotide ribosomal RNA is filed under the name uncultured bacterium. RNAcentral describes it as "partial 16S ribosomal RNA". It matches the Rfam family "Bacterial small subunit ribosomal RNA", at positions 524 to 776 of the family's 1533-position model. The record is from RNAcentral.